RNAcentral lists this long non-coding RNA (28507 nucleotides) under Podarcis lilfordi (Lilford's wall lizard). The record is from RNAcentral. Lineage: Eukaryota; Metazoa; Chordata; Lepidosauria; Squamata; Lacertidae.
AACAUAACGGUAAAGCAACAAAGAAGAACAGCUUUUUCUGAGUCAGCCUUGCUAGGCUAAAAUAGCUUCUUGCAGAUGGUUUGGAGGAGAUUUGUGAUGCGAAACAGAAUGUCUUGUGGCAUGCUGAUGAUUCCCAAGUAACACUUAAAGGUAGGGGUGCCAUAUUUCAAAAAGUGAAAAUCCGGAUAGUAAAGUUCUUGAUUUUCCCAGAUGUGUAGACGAUUUCCGCCCAGCCACUGCUUUAGACUGCAGUAUUCCGGGUAGGUCCUGGAAAUUCUGGACGUAUGGCAACCCUACUUAAAGGAAGGUUUUUGUAUGGAGUUGUGUGCCUGUCAAGAACUAUAUCAUGGGUAGGCAAACUUUGGCCUGGGAAUCAGCGUGUUUUUACAUGAGUAGAAUGUGUCCUUUUAUUUAAAAUGCAUCUCUGGGUUAUUUGUGGGGCCUGUCUGGUGUUUUUACACGAAUAGAAUGUGUCCUUUUAUUUAAAAUGCAUCUCUGGGUUAUUUGUGGGGCAUAGGAAUUCGUUCAUUUUGUUUCCUUCAAAAUAUAGUCCGGCCCUCCACAAGGUCUGAGGGACAGUGGACCAGCCCCCGUUGAAAAAGUUUGCUGACCCCUGAUCUAGUACCCAUUUACUCGGGGAGAAUCUCUUCUCAAACACCAGGACUUUUGAUUUUUCAUAAUUGAUGGGUAACCCAUUAGAAUAUUUAUGUUAUUGUUUUGACAUCUUGGGGUGGGGACACACACACAGAGAGAGACAAUGGCCAGUUUUCUGGUAACAUCCUCUUGACUGGAGAGAGGAUGUUGAUACUGAUGAUCUAUUCAGGAGGGGUCAGGAAUUAUCUUAAAAACAAUAAUUAUUAUUUCUAAAGCAAACAAGCCACUAUACAAUAAAAUUACAGACAAGCCCUGCCCUCAGAUUUACUAUAUAACCAGGGCUUUUUGUCAGCCAGAACUCACCACUCAGUUCUGGCACCCCUCAGGUGGGCGCCAUUGCCAUUCUAAGAGAACAAGGGAGGGGUUCAUGGUGAGAUUUGGCACCUCUUUUUCUAGAAAAAAAUAGCACGGUAUAUAACCAAUAUCUGGAUCUGCCUCACAAUCUUUCAGCAGAAACUGCCUCAGAGGGAGGUUGUGAGGCUCUAACGUAACUCUGAGAUCCUUGAAACAAGGCCAAGGUAUAGGUGUGAUGAACUGAUAAAUGUGUUUGUGCUUCAUGAGGUAGACUAUCUGGUGUUUGCCAAGUGUCUCCCCACUCACCGCUUCUUUUUUAAAAAAAUAUUUUUUUAAAAGAGGUGCAUGAAUGCUCCAAUGCUGGGUUGGCUGGCUGAACAAGGAACUGCUCAGCCUCUGAACAAGAUAAAUAUAUGCACACAGAGGUGCCAUCAGGACGCGACUUAGGAGCUGAUGCCCACGGCCACAUUUAGUAGAAGGAGCAGGAAGUUCCCCACUCUUCAUGGCAUUUUGCUAUACGUGAAGGAAUACCCAUUGCAAUUUAAAAGGGGGUUAAUAAGACCUCUAAGUGCUGUCUAAAAUCGACCUAAGUGCACCACUGUAUGCACGUUUCUUGAGAAUCCUUUUAAAAAGUUAAUUUAAUGGCAGAUGAAUAAAAGGAAGGCCCUAAUAUUUAAAAAUAUCCAAGUUAGAAAUGGCAUUUGAUUUCUGGUAAAAAGCCACAGGGGACUUAGCAUUUGAAAUGUCAUCUUUGUCUUUGAAAAUCACCCAGUUCAACACUUCUCCAUUAGGAGGGAUAAUUGCACCGCCUGUUAUGGCGCUUUCAAACAUUUUUGGAAGAGAUUCAUGGUUCCUUUAAAAAAAAAAAAACCCAAACUAAAAAAGGGGCACAUUUUGUGCUGCUUCCAAACCCAAAUAGGCACUUGCUUAUUAAAUUGCUUUUAAAAGUGAAGAAACUGAAGAUUUGUUUCCCCCUUGGGCUUACAUCAGCCCAUUCCGUCACAUUCCUCUGCUUCAGAAAGGAAUAUUUUAACAUAUAUUAACAUUAUCCAGGUGAGUGAUGUGGAUUGUACAUGCCACAUCUUGCUUCCACCUUAGGUACUAUCUAUUACUGGGCCAGCAAUGCAGAAAUAAUUUAUCAUUCAAUUUCCUUGUGGAGAGAUGCCUCUCCUGAACAUUUGUAUUUUCAGGCAUGUGUUUGUGUGUGUGUACGCACACACACGCGUGUCAGACAGGCAGACAGACAGACAGAAAUUUCAGACCCUCCAAGUGUCCCUAUUUUCCAGGGACAGCCCCAAUUUUAAAGAAGCUGUCCCGGUUUGUUAUUUGGUCCUGAAAUGUCCCACUAUUCUUUAAGACAUCCCUAUUUUCAUUGGUCCAUGGGGUGGGGGAGAGGAUCUGGUCCACUGUGGUUACAUCAAUUUAUAUACAGUGGUACCUCGGCUUAAGAACUUAAUUCGUUCUGGAGGUCCGUUCUUAACCUGAAACUGUUCUUAACCUGAGGUACCACUUUAGCUAAUGGGGCCUCCCACUGCCGCCGCACCACUGCCACAUGAUUUCUGUUCUCAUCCUGAAGCAAAGUUCUUAACCUGAGGUACUAUUUCUGGGUUAGCGGAGUCUGUAACCUGAAGCGUCUGUAACCCGAGGUACCACUAUAUAUAAAUAUAUAUAAUAAUGCAGGUGGCGCUAUGGUCUAUACCACUGAUCCUCUUGGGCUUUCCAAUCGGAAGGUUGGCGGUUCAAAUCUGCAUGACGGAGUGAGCUCCCGUUGCUCUGUCCCAGCUCCUGCCAACCUAGCAGUUCGAAAGCACGCCAGUGCAAGUAGAUAAUUAGGUACCACUGUGGCCGGAAGGUAAACGGUGUUUCCGUGCAGUCUGGUUUCCAUCACAGUGUUCCGUUGAGCCAGAAGCGGUUUAGUCAUGCUGGCCACAUGACCCGGAAGGUUGUCUGUGGACAAACGCCGGGUCCCUCGGCCUGAAAGCAAGAUGAGCGCUGCAACCCCAUAGGCGCCUUUGACUGGACUUAACCAUCCAGGGCUCCUUUACCUUUACCUUUUACAACAAUAGAUAGGUGAUGAUAGAUGAUAGAUAGAUAGAUAGAUAGAUGAUUGAUAGAUAGAUAGAUAGAUAGAUAGAUAGACAGAUGAUAUAUAGAUAGAGAUAUAUAAACCACAAAAGCAUCAAAUAAUGUACAAUAUCAGAAAGCAGCAGUAUAGCGGAUGGACUGCCAUCCAGUUUGCCGUUGGCCAAUUUAUAUUCCAUUGGGUGGGGAAAGAAGGGAAGCACUACAAAGGAAUAAAUCAAUGCCCUAUGUCAUGGGUAGGCAAAUUAAGGCCCAGGGGCCGGUUCCGGCCCAAUCACCUUCUAAAUCCGGCCUGCAGACGGUCUGGGAAUCAGCAUGUUUUUACAUGAGUAGAAUGUGUCCUUUUAUUUAAAAUGCAUCUCUGGGUUAUUUGUGGGGCAUAGGAAUUCGUUGUUCUUCUUUUUUUUCAACAUAUAGUCUGGCCCCCCACAAGGUCUGAGGGACAGUAGACUGGCCCCCUGCUGAAAAGGUUUGCUGACCCCUGCACUAUGUGAAGUACUUCCUUUCAUUCUCCCUGAAUUUCCCUGUGCUUAUCUCCAUUGGCUCUUCCCUGACAGUUGGCCAUGUUGGCUGGGGCUGAUGGGAGUUGUAGCCCAACAACAUCUAGAGGGCCUUGCUUUGGAGCUUCAACUUUAUCCACCAGACCCCCUUGGCUUUAGCCUUCCAAAAUAUGUUCCGAGAGGGAUUAUUUGAUCCGGCAAGCUCUCUUUCUUUUCCUUGGCCUCCACGCCUCAGUGAGCAUCUCAUGCCUGCUAAAUAACUCCCUGCCCUUAGCUAACUCCAGUUGGAACUAGUCUGAUGAAUAUGUAGGUCUUUCUCUCUCUCUCUCUCUCUCCCUCUCCCUCUCUCUCUCCCACCCCGCCCCUCUGUUUCCUCUAUUUCUUUCCCUGCCCCUUUCUCCAGUGAUAACACCACCUAAUUAGGCGGUUGAUUGUUUCAGCUUGGGGAAAAAAGUCUCCAAAAGGUAGUGCUUGUUUGCUUCUUCCUCCCUCCUUGUCUGCCUGCUUCUACACUGGAGAUCACUACUUACGAGUAAAGGAAGCCCAUUGCCUAAUCAUCAGGAUCAGGAUGUGGUCAUCUUUAUUGCUUCUAGAUUAGGGUUGCCAGAUAUCCCCAGUUCCCAGGGACAGUCCCUGGAUUUGCAAAUCUGUCCCCGGACAAAUUCCGUCCCCAGAAUGUCCCCAGAUUUGCAAAUCUGUCCCUGGGAAACGUGACAGCAGUAGCCUCAGCAGCCUGGAGCCAGUCUGGUAGCGCAGUUGGCUCUGGCUGGCUUCAGGAGCUGCUCGCUGCCAUGGCGCCCGCCAUUUUUCCUCACCGAAAGUCCCCAUAUGGUGUGUCUUGUGCGCAAAGAAUAGUUUAGGAGCCUAAUGCUUCCAAAGCUAUCCCCAACUGUAUAAAAAACCUUUAACCUUUGUUCAAACAAAAUCUGCCCUAUUUCCCUUAUGGGGUAUCCAAGAGCCCAUAUAGAGUCCUUACGUAGGUUCCCUAUUGGUAGGAGAAAAUAACAGAGGCCAACCAGAGAAUAUUGAGAAGCAAAGCAGCUCGUAAGCCUGAUCUUUAUUAAUCUGUUGCAACAGGGUGCUCCCCUCACACGCAGGAGAGGAAGAGGAACCCAGAACAAAGGUGUGCCUGCCCUUAUAUAGACAUUUUAAAUUCCCUGCCCUGGAGCUCAAGACCACCCCUCCAUACAUCAUACCUACAUCACAGAAAAGGUGGUCUACAGAAGAAAUCUGAGUGUGUUGUUUAUCUCGUCUGACAGGUUACGUGUUAAUGCUCACUUGAUUGGAUACCCUGGGGAGCCUGGCCAGUCUUUUGUAAUGAUAAAUACUUAGUUCCUGAGCCAGGUCACAGGCUCACCUUAUUCAAACACAGACAUACCCUUAAGACAAGAUUUGGGAAGGAUAAGACAAUGGGGAGGCGUUUCCAUUUUCCUUUGACCUUGCAGAGAAAACAUUUGUUCAAUUUGGGAAUCAAAAAUGGUUUCAGGUCGGUCUUCCUGUGCUGAUCUAUGUACGUGCUUGGUUGGUACAUUUAUUAUAUAUCUAAGACCUUAAAAUUCUUAUCACACCUUUUUAAAAAUAAUAAUAAUAAUAAUAAUGAAAACCAACAGGCAGACAAAAAUUACAUAGCAGCAAGAAAAGCCAGCCAGCUAGUAUAAGUGCUAGCUUGCCACGCAGGGAAAAAGAGGUUUCAGCCCCAAUGUCCUGAUGUAUUCCUUGGUCUUACAUUGUUCCAUGUGUAAAGGAAUUCAUGUUAUCCAACUAUCCAUAUGGCCAGAUCAGCUUGUGUGUUGUGUAUCUACUUGCUUCUGCUGUGUGGGCUUGAAGUCGAGCCUGACCUCUGCUUCACCCUGUUUUGUGCAACACAAUAUGCCCCACGGAGGCCUGGCCAGAAGCAGUUUCUGGGCUCGGAAGCCUGCGGGCACUAGAAUGAUGGCCAAUUCCUUUUGUAGAGGAAACAAAGGACACCCACUCCUCUUCCAAUCUGCAUAGCCGAGUCAUAUCCAAUUUGCACUAGGCUAAUUUCACUUUACAUAACAGCGGAUCUGCGACCAAGAUUACCAGGAAACACAUAUACCCCCAUGCAAAAAGAAAAAGAAAAAAAGUGUAAAUAGCAGAGGGUGGUUACAUAUCAUAAAAGGCUACCUUUCUUUCAGUGUAUAACUGGACCUGCUUGUGAAAUUGUUGUCUGCCUAAGCUCGGGUUGGGGGGGAAGUGGCCUGCUAGGUGUUGUUCCCCCAUCCCUGGUACUGGGCUCUGAUCUUCAGAAAUUAGCAGCUGAAAGUAUAUGGGCAUCGCUUGGCAGGGUGUAUUCCAUAGGUAGUCCUCCAUCUUUUUCAGCAUCUUGCAAGAUGGCCACAGCCGUGAUUAAAUCAAGCCACACCUUUCCUCCAGUAUUAGCAGUAUGUUGCUCUAAUUUGCAGCUUCCCACAGCCUGAACUAAAUUCGGAAGACAAUUGGAUUUUUUUAUUUUAUUUUUAUUGGAUUAUGAUUAUGAUUUGAAUGUCAAUUGGAUGUUUUUAUUGGAAAAUUAGGGACGCGGGUGGCGCUGUGGAUUAAACCACAGAGCCUAGGACUUGCCGAUCAGAAGGUCGGCAGUUCGAAUCCCCGUGACUGGGUGAGCUCCCGUUGCUUGGUCCCUGCUCCUGCAAACCUAGCAGUUCAAAAGUACGUCAAAGUGCAAGUAGAUGAAUAGGUACUGCUCUGGCGGGAAGGUAAACGGCGUUUCCAUGUUCUGCUCUGGUUCCCCAGAAGCGGCUUAGUCAUGCUGGCCACAUGACCUGGAAGCUGUACGCCGGCUCCCUCGGCCAAUAAAGUGAGAUGAGCGCCGCAACCCCAGAGUCGAUCACGACUGGACCUAAUGGUCAGGGGUCCCUUUACCUUUACCUUUAUUGGAAAAUUAAUAAACGCUCUAAAAAAAAAAAAAAAAAAGCAGUAUGUUGCAAUCAUCUCUCCUCUUUUCCAGGCUAAACAUAUUCUGCUCCUUUGACCGUUCCUCAUAAGGCUUGGUUUCUAAACCCUUGAUCAUCUUGGCUGCCCUCCUCUGUACUCAUUCAUUCUUCGUAGCAACGCUAUUUAUGGCAGACGCAUGCGAGACACUCUGCCAAUAUGACUUCAGGUUAUACUGUGGCCUUCAUGUCAUUUGGCUUAGAUAACUUAACAGCUGGGUCCGUCCCCUGUCCCGCAGGCUUGCUUGUGUUCCCAACCUUAGGUAGCAUAUGCUUGCUUUUGCCCAUCUGCCAGACUAUCUCAAUCACCUUGAUACCUCUUUGCAUUUGCUACUUCCUCCCUGCACAUAUUUGCAAAUUCUGAGGCCUGUGUUUGGCAGGCGGCUAAGAGUACUGGGAUCAUGGAAAACUGUCUUGUACUAGGUCAUACCAAGAUUGUUUACACUUUCCGGCAACAGCUCUGCAAGAUUUCAGGCACAGGUCCCCCCACCCCUGUCCUAACUGGAGAUGAAAGGUAUUGAAAAGCUUCUCAGGACUGACGGCAGCAAGAAUAUUAUUGGCACAAAAUUGGAAGCAAGAAGAAUUACCGACGAAAGAAGAAUGGAGGAGGAAAAUGAUGGACUAUGCAGAAUUAGAUAAACUAACAGGAAGAAUUCGAAACCAGAGAUUCUCAGGAGGCUGGAGUAAAUUUACGGACUAUUUGAAAAGUAAUUGUGAUGAACAGAUUACGCCCGUAGGCUUGCAAGCAGUUUUGUAAGGUGCAUUAUUUGAAAUGCUGCAAAAAAGAUAAUGAGGAGAAUUUUUAGUUAAAGAUAAUUGAAGGUAAUAUGAAAUUAAGAAAUGCAUAAUAAGUGAUAAGAACGGAAAAUCAUCAGAGGUGUUGACCGAAGUCCAAAAAUUAUUGUAUAAGAUGAGAAGUUUUGUUGUAUGAAUAAUAAUUAGUAUGUUAAAAAUUAAUAAACAUGUAUAUAAAUGUGAAAAGCUUCUCAGGACAGCUGACAAAUACAACAGUGAUUAAAAUAUCCAUAAGAUGAUCAUUUUUUACUAACUAAAACUUAAAUAUAGCAGUAAAGCAGUGUUCUAGAAAAAUUUGGGGCUGCCUUUUACAGCCCCUCUCCAUCAAAGGACUCAGUUUCCUCUAAGUCCAUUCUCAGUGAGAGAAGAAUGGAUGGAGGCAGGAACCAGUGAAAGGAAAACAGAUAUUUAUUUUUCUGAUGCAACAGAGUCCCAUCCUGCCCCCCUUGCAAGGAGGUGAUGACCCAAAACGAAGGUAUGCAAGAACUUUUAAAGAAAUUUCACAACCCCUUCACCGAAGACCACCCAAAAAACAUCACGCACACAUCACAGAAAGAGGCAGUCUACAACAGAAAUUUGAGAGUGUUGCUUGUCUCCUGCCUAACAAGAUACCUGAUAAUGGUGAAAUAGAGCUGCCAUCUUUCAAAAAAUGAAAAUCCGGACACAAAAGUUGCUGAGUUCUUUUUCCAAAAUCUAAAAAUAAAAUAAAAAUGAAGUUGUUGAGCAUUUUUAAAGGAAAUUCGCAAAAUAAAAAUAAAAACCAACACUGCCCAAAUGGUUGCCAGACAUAUGUGUUUUCCCUGAAAUUUUUACCGAUUUUUGGAAAUUCCGCCUGGACACUAUUUCCGACAGACGAAUCCUGUAUAUGUCUGGGAAAUUCUGGAUGGAUGGUAAAAAAGGUAAAGGGACCCCUGACCAUUAGGUCCAGUCGUGACCGACUCUGGGGUUGCGGCGCUCAUCUCGCUUUACUGGCCGAGGGAGCCGGCGUACAGCUUCCGGGUCAUGUGGCCAGCAGGACUAAGCUGCUUCUGGUGAACCAGAGCAGUGCACGGAAACGCUGUUUACCUUCCCACCAGAGCGGUACCUAUUUAUCUACUUGCACUUUGACGUGCUUUCGAACUGCUAGGUUGGCAGGAGCAGGGACCCAACAACGGGAGCUCACCCUGUCGCGGGGAUUCGAACUGCCGACCUUCUGAUCGGCAAGUCCUAGGCUCUGUGGUUUAACCCACAGCGCCACCCGCGACAGAUGGUAGUCCUAUGUCAAAUGGUCACUGAAUGCAUUACCUGGGCUGUCUGAUCCAUUCUUUUGAGAUAAUAAAUACCUUAGUUUUUGAAUACAGGUCACAGGCCUACCCUAUUCAUACACAAAAUAUGCCCUUAAGACAGGAUGUGUAGGAUUUGUAAGUGAAAAGAACCAUCAGGAGAGGAAAUAUUUGGGGUCUUAAGAUGGCUUCAGGAUUGCUCUCCUAUGCUAUUUCAGACAAAUGGUUUAUGUACAUAAGGUACCUUGUGCACUCAUGAACAUUCAUUUUAUUUAUGACACCUUAGAAUUCUUAUAGCAGCAUUAAUACCGUAAUAUAAAUACAGAUUUUUUAAAAAUGUAGUAAGACCUAAUUCGUGAGGUGUUUUGCACACACUAACAUUGUUCUAUGUUUUGUUUUGUUUUUUGCUGUUUUACAACAUUGUCUUUACUACUUUUUUUGUAUGUGCAGGUGUUAUUUUGGUUUACGUUCAUAUUUUCUUCUAUUCAUUUAAAUUAUAUGUGAAUUCAAAACACUUCACCUCUCCCUGUGUGUGUUAUAUAUGAUACAUAUAUUUACCAGAGUAAUAAGAUCAUAGGGCAAUAAGAUGAAUAAGAUCAUAGGGCAAAACCUUUUAGCUCUAUUGAGAUGAGCGUUUUAAGGUUGUGUUUGCAUUUGUUUAUAAUUUUGAUACAAACUGGUUUUAUGGCACCAGUUUAUAUUUCAUUUUGUGUUAUUUGGAAAUCCAGAUCCCAGCUAAUUUGGGAAACUUUCUAAAACAUCUUCCACCUUUGCUCAGCUGGGUUUUCCUUUCUUUCUUUUUUAAUUAACUGAGCUGGGUUUUAGCAAAACUAUCCACUGUAAUUUAAGAGCGAUGCCAGCAAGGCUUCUUCCUUGGAGCACAUAAAGUCGCAAAUGAAUGCUAAUUAGUGGUAUUAAGAGAACCAAAAUGCAUCCCCAAAGCACCAAGAAUGGAGAGAACACUCCUAUACAUUCCUUUUAUCUAUUAUAUAGUAGUGCCUCAUUUUUUUAAAAAGCAGCAACAUUGUCAAAUCCUGGAAAGUUAUUCUAGUUGUUUCCUUUCGCUUGGGAGAUUGCUGUAUCCAUGUAAAAAGAACAAAGUCUCUCUACGGUGGUAUGUAUGCAUCAGUAGUCUAGAGAGACUAAUAAAAUGCAAAGACUUUAAAUCAUGCUCAUUGCCAAUUAAACGCAGACAAUUAGCUCGUUCUGAAAGCAAUUUGGGUUUCCAGCAGUUAAUGUGCAUGCAUACCCAAACUCCACUGAUGUUUUAGAGGAGGUAUAAACAAAGCAAGGGCAUUUGGGAAAAAACGGAAAGGUAUCAGAUGAGAAUGGUCGUCUUGAAUGGUGAAUAGCUUAAAAUAUGGGAAGAGCAGAACAUUUCCAGAGCAGCUGUGCUGUGUGCAUUUAACACACAGUCCUAAAAGAGGAGGGCCAAGAAUGUGAGCAGGUCAGCAGCUGGCAAGAACCACGCUCCCCUAAAUCGACCAGGUGGUGGCGGAGAUAUCAUCAUCACCAUCACUUUUAAUUUGUAUACUGCCAGAAGAAAUAUCAACAACUUCAGAUAUGCAGAUGACACAACCUUGAUGGCAGAAAGUGAGGAGGAAUUAGAGAACCUUUUAAUGAAGGUGAAAGAGGAGAGUGCAAAAUAUGGUCUGAAGCUCAACAUCAAAAAAACGAAGAUCAUGGCCACUGGUCCCAUCACCUCCUGGCAAAUAGAAGGGGAAGAAAUGGAGGCAGUGAGAGAUUUUACUUUCUUGGGCUCCAUGAUCACUGCAGACGGUGACAGCAGUCACGAAAUUAAAAGACGCCUGCUCCUUGGGAGAAAGGCGAUGGCAAACCUAGACAGCAUCUUAAAAAGCAGAGACAUCGCCUUACCGACAAAGGUCCGUAUAGUUAAAGCUACGGUUUUCCCAGUAGUGAUGCAUGGAAGUGAGAGCUGGACCAUAAAGAAGGCUGAUCGCUGAAGAACUGAUGCUUUUGAAUUAUGGUGCUGAAGGAGACUCGCUCCUGGCAAUUUGUGUCCCACCAGUUUAAAUUGCAUUUCUCCAUGGAGUGUUCACUGGGAGAUGGACAAUGUAAUUGGCAACACCUGAAAUGGGAGGCAGGAAGUAUUGUGUCAAGUGACACUGUUCAGAUCUCUUCCACUACAGUCAUAGCAAAUGAUGAAGCAGAUCCUUUCCAUCUGUGAUAUCAAUGUAAAUUUGAUCAAAAACCAUCAAGCGCAUAAGAACUGUCAUGUUUUUCCAGACCACUGAUUCAUGUGAGGCAUAAUUACAGUAGUGACUCCAUGUUUAUAUCACCAAAACAGUAAUCUCCAACACAGUGGUAUCUGGUCUGGACUGAAUAAUCUCCCCCCCUCCUUUCUCUCUCUCUCUCUCUCUCUCUCUCUCUCUCUCUCUCUCUGAAUUCUCAGCAAAUCAAUUUCUUCCAUUUCUUUAAAGGACUGCAUGCAAAUUGAUAUUACCCCUUUUGGUCCUGGCACUUUUAAUAUUAUUUGUAUACAUUAUGAGAGUUAUCUCUAGGAAAUCAUAAAGGAGGGCUGGCUUUUACAUUCUGAAAUUUUAUUAGAGUUCACAUAAUGUGAUAAAUUAUACAUUGCUUCAUUAAGUAUAGAUGUGGCAGUGCCUUUUGUCGAGAAGCAAUUUCGUCAUUUAAAACGGCACCUGUGAUGUUUGCACAAAAUGGCCCAAACUCUUUGUUAUAAGUGAUUGAAAAAUAUAUCCUUUGGUUCAGUCUUGCAUAUCACAGUGGGAAAUGUUAUCGGGAGGGAAAUGUUGAAUUCAUUUUGUUGUGGCUUGUUGAAAUAGUGAACACCAGCUGUUGAAAUUUCAAAUGAAAUAUGCAUUGGUUAGAGAUGAGACCUUUUGGACUGUCCAUCAGUUGUAGUGGUGGAUAUUGACCUGUUUUUACUUACUAGCAGCCUUUCUCAACCUGUGAGUCCCCAGAUGUUGUUGAACUACUGCUCCCAUCACCCCUAGCUAGCAAGGCCAGAGCUCAGGGAUGAUGGGAGUUGUAGUCCAACAACAUCUGGGGACCCACAGGUUGAGAAACGCUGACUGGGUACCUACAACAACAACAAAAAUAACGCUGCCGUAAAUGGAUCUGAGUAGGUAAGUGUUAUUUCAUUCAGGCGGCGAAGUCAGCUGAAUGAAAGAAAGAAAUGUUGAAAAGAUUAGUUUAAGAAGGACUGGGGGAGAAACCCCCUUUUUACUGCAGUCAGAGCUGUCUUCAUAGAAUUACAGUGGUGCCUCGCAAGACAAAAUUAAUUCGUUCCGCAAGUUUUUUCGUCUAGCGAAUUUUUCGUCUUGCAAAGCACGAAAUCCCAUAGGAAUGCAUUGAAAUUCAAUUAAUGCGUUCCUAUGGUCAAAAAAAGUCCAAACAAAGCCAAAUUUGGUACAACAAGAGUUUAUUAAGGGCUCUUUAAAGUCACACAUACUGUAAAGAGCAUUUCAAAAAUUGAAGGAACAAUAAAUUCAAAAAUUGAAGGAACAAUAAAUUCAAAAAUUGAAGGAACAAUAAAUUCAAAAAUUGAAGGAACAAUAAAAAUCAGAAAAAUGCAGAAAAAAACCACACAAGCUUCCAGAUUCUUGCAAACCCCUCCUCAACUGUUCCCCCAGCCACCCACCACACAGAAAUUCAAAUCCAGAAUUUUUUUAAAAAAACAACAUGGCCCAAUGGUCACAGAAAAUCAUAAAAAUUCAGAAAAAAACCACACAAGCUUCCAGAUUCUUGCAAACCCCUCCUCAACUGUUCCCCCAGCCACUCACCACACAGAAAUUCAAACCCAGAAAUUUUUUUUAAAAAAACAACAUGGCCCAAUGGUCACAGAAAAUCAUAAAAAUUCAAAAAAAACCCCACACAAGCUCCCAGAUUCUUGCAAACCCCUCCUCAACUGUUCCCCCAGCCACCCAACCACACAGAAAUUCAAACCCAGAAUUUUUUUUUAAAAAAAACAGCAGAGUGGCCCAAUGGUCACAAAAAAUCAUAAAAAUGCAGGGGAAAAAACACACAAGCUUCCAGAUUCUUGCAAACCCCUCCCCAACACCAAGUCCUUGAAUUCCAAACACCCCAACCCAAAAUCCAAAACCCCCCAAAAAAGUUUUAAAAGUUUAACUUACCAAAUGGCUGCAAAAGAAGUUUUGGAAAAGCUUCAAAAAUCACCAAAGUCUUCAAAAACCUCAAAAAAGGCUACCACACCGCAUGCUAUGAGUUGCUCCUCGAAGUCAAGUCGCAACUGCACCUCUUCAAGCAAUGCACCCUGGGUAUUAACGGUUUUACGAAAAAGGAAACAAACUUGCAAGACGUUUUUGUCUUGCGAAGCAAGCCCAUAGGGAAAUUCGUCUUGCGAAGCAGCUCAAAAAACGCAAAACCCUUUCAUCUAGCGAGUUUUCGUCUUGCGAGGCGUUCGUCUUGCGGGGCACCACUGCAUAGAAUUGGAAAGGACCCUGAGAAUCGCCUAGUCCAGCCCCCCCAUACAGAAAUAUGCAGCUGUCCCAUACGGGGAUGGAACCUGCACCUUGGUGUUAUCAGCACCAUGUUCUAACCCAGGGGUAGGCAAACUAAGGCCCAGGGGCCGGAUCCGGCCAAUCGCCUUCUAAAUUUGGCCUGUGGAUGGUCCAGGAAUCAGUGUGUUUUUACAUGAGUAGAAUGUGUCCUUUUAUUUAGGGGUGGAAUGCUCUGUCCCAUGAGACCAGGGCCCUGCAGGAUUUUACUUCCUUCUGCAGGGCCUGUAAGACAGAACUAUUCCGCCUGGCUUUCAAUUUGAACCUGGCCUGAUCUUUUGUUCCCCUUCCUUCCCUCCCCCUCCCCUUUUUGUGAAGAUUGCUCGCUCUGGGAUCCCACAGCUGGUUUUCUCCUGGUCUCAUUGCUGGCCCAAGUGGGACUAAUUUAGCCAGCUAGCCCUGGUGAUCAUCUAAUGUUUAUUGGAUGGAUUUCCCCCCAAACAGAUUUUUGAUUUUUGAUUUUAUUGUUAUUUAUGCUUUAUACUGUAUUUUAUGCUGUUUUUUUGUUGCCUCAAGUAAGUGUUUUAAAUUCGUUGUUAGCUGCCCUGAGCGUGGUUUCCUGAACCAGGAAGGGUGGGGUAUAAAUAAAAUUUUAUUUUUAUUUUUAUUUUUAUUUAAAUUUAUUUUUAUUCAUUUUCAUUUUCAUUUUCAUUUUUAUUUUUAUUUUUAUUUUUAUUUUUAUUUUUAUUUUUAUUUAAAAUGCAUCUCUGGGUUAUUUGUGGGUUAUGGGAAUUCAUUCAUUUCCCCCCCCCAAAAUAUACAGUGGUGCCCCGCAAGACGAAUGCCUCGCAAGACGGAAAACCCGCUAGACGAAAGGGUUUUCCGUUUUUUGAGUUGCUUCGCAGGACGAAUUUCCCUAUGGGCUUGCUUCGCAAGACGAAAAUGUCUUGCGAGUCUUGAGAUUUUUUUUUCGCUUUCCCCCCCCCUUUAUCUAAUCCGCUAAGCCUUUAAUAGCCUUUAAUAGCCUUUUAGCAGCUAAUCCGCUAAGCCUUUAAGCCUUUAAUAGCCGCUAAACCGCUAAUAGCGCUAAUCCGUUAAGCCGCUAAUAGGGUUGCUUCGCAAGACGAAAAAACCGCUAGACGAAGACUCUCGCGGAACGGAUUAAUUUCGUCUUGCGAGGCACCACUGUAGUCCAGUCCCCCACAAGGUCUGUGGAACAGUGGACCGGCCCCCUGCUGAAAAAGUUUGCUGGCCCCUGUUUUAACCAACUGAGCUAUCCAGGCUCAAUAAUACAGAAUGGAAAUGAAGAGCCACCAUUGUAAUUCACCUUGAAUGUGGUUUAUUGGUGGGCUGUGAGCUUACCUGCAAACACACUCAUAAGCCAUCAUAUCUAGCGUGGCUCUUCCCUGGGGGAAGCUGCUGGUACUAAGAACUUAGCAGUAGUGCUUUCUUUCCUAUCAGAUUCCACCAAAAGAGGUUUUCUUGCAUCCUGUCCUUUUUAUAUUUGGAAGGUGGUUAUAGGCAAAUAUCUCCUCCUUUCUCCCCUAUUUUGUUUUUUUUAAAAAAUAUUAUUCUUUAUUGAUUAAAAAUUUACAUAUCUAUUCAGACAUUGUACGCUGUCUCUUUACAUAUGAAGAAAAAGAAAAUUAUGUAGAGAAUAGAAAAUUUAUAAAGGAACAAAAAAGAGGCAAAGAAAAAAUAAAGAAAUAACAAAGAUAUGAAGUAAAAAAAAUCAAAAGAGAAAAAGACAACAUUAUUUACACAAUAAAAGUGUUCAUCGACACAAUCCUUCCCAUCCUUCUCAUUGUACUGUAAUAUAAACAUUCUUUUUUAACACAGAUUUGUAUGGUAUAAUAUCAUUUCUUUCUACUUUGUAUAUAUUCCUCUAAUCGUUUUCUUUACAAAUAUCACUCAAUUUCUGCGAAUAUGGAAUUAUUUGUGCAAUAAAGUUUUACAUAGUUGUUGAAUAUUAUCCAUUCUCUAGUUAUUUUUUGUUUCAAUGUUCCUCUAACUUAUCGUAUCUUUGUUAUUUCUUAAUUUUUUUUCUUUUUCUCUUUUUUGUUCCUUUAUAAAUUUUCUAUUCUCUGCAUAAUUUUCUUUUUUGAGUCCCUCAUCCCACUCUCUUUAUCUUUCUCUCUUUUUUUGCCAUGCCACUUUUGACUUCUGUAGUAUUCAGAAAUGCUCAGGCAAUUCUUUCCCAGCUAAUGGGGGGAGGGGGAGGCAGAGAAGGAGAGAUUAAAUUGUGGUGUAAUGAGGUGUUGUAGGAAAGUACUGAAUUGACACCUCUGCCAGCGCCUGCAAAUUGUGUUCCUUUUUGUCCAAGGCUGAGAGCAACCAGCUUGAUAGGUGUCAGUAUGAAUAUCCGUUAACAAGGUGGGUGCCAAUAUAUUUCAAGAGGUGAAUUGUAAUGGAUUGCAAUGAUUUGGAAUAGCUCGACUAUUCCAUAUCUUUCUUUUUCUAUGGCAGCUUCUAAGAAGCCAAACUUGACUUUCCGAUUUAGGGAUUUGCAAGUGAACACAUGAAGCGUGAACAGUUUCAAUAGCAAUUUGCAUGGUACCAUUAGUGUGUCUGGUGCUUUUUUGGAAGGUUAAAGGUUUGAAUCUGCGCAACGGGGGAGCUCCUGUUGCUCUGCCCCAGCUCCUGCCAACCUAGCAGUUCGAAAGCACACCAGCUCAAGUAGAUAAAUAGGUACCACUGCGGUGAGAAGGUAAACGGCGUUUCUGUGUGCUCUGGCACUCAUCAUGGUCCUCUGUGCACCAGUAGCAUUUUAGUCAUGCUGGCCACAUGACCCAGAAAGUAGUCUGUGGACAAACACUGGCUCCCUCGGCCUGAAAGCAAGAUGAGCACCAAGGCAACCCCAUAGUUGCCUUAGACUGGACUUAACCAUCCAGGGGUCCUUUACCUUUUUGCCAGUGUCACAGCCCCGCUUGUAUUAUUUGGGAUCCCCAAGCCAGUUGCUGUCGGGAAGGCACCAAGGAGACCUGUGACUUGCCCCUGCUUUACAUAUUUACAUUACCAUUGUAAUGCAGUAUCAAACAGUAGACCAAUGCCAGAAGUGGAACUUAACAAUUCAGCACCAUACCCUAAGUUUUGAACCAUGAAGUCGAAGUCAUCAAAACAUCAAAAACAUCAAAACAUAUUGUGUGAAUUAACCUGGUGAAAUAUGUAUUUAUCAAUGUACUUUUUCUGCAUCUGAUUGCCCUGUGAUCUCUCUCUCUCUCUCUCUUUGUAAACCAAGAAAAUUAAAGAUUUUCUUGGUUUACAAAAGUAUGUGCAAUGUUGUUGAGACAUUAGGAAGAAAAGGGGGGAUGAGGUGGAGGGGGGAGAGGUGAGUGGGGGUGGGGUCAGGUGCCGAUGUUUCUAUUUUACUUAAUAUACAUGGGGUUUUGUGUCAGCGUCGCUUGUGCAGGUUCUCUGCUAUUCACUUGUGUUUCUUUGGUGGUGAGAGAGGUUGGGGGUUGGCCUAGGGCAGGGGUCUGCAACCCGCGGCUCUGGAGCCGCAUGUGGCUCUUUUACACCUUUGCCGCGGCUCCGGGGCGGAUACUAGCGAGGGGAGGAGGCGCAUUGUGCGCCCCAACACUCCCCACUGUGGCGGGCGCUGUACUGGCUGUGACGUCGCAUGGGGGCGGUGCGUGUGUUAGUCACACACUGUCCCGAUGUCACCUUCCCGCCUGCCCGCCCGCUACAUUGUAAGGGGCAUGUACGCUGGUCACUGCAUUGAAAGGGGGCAUGUACGCUGGUCACUGUUUUGAAGGGGAGUGAAGAACACACACACAAAAAAAGGUAACUUGUUAAUUUAAUGUUUAUUUCUAUGAGGAGGAGUAAUUCUGAGGGGUCAAACAAAGAAAUAAUUUUAAAAAGUGACAAAAAAGUUAUUUUUAUAAUGACGAGUUUUGCGGCUCCCAGUUUUUUUUUCUUCGGAAAUGGGUCCAAGUGGCUCUUUUUGUCUUAAAGGUUGCAGACCCCUGGCCUAGGGUGUGGUUGUUUGUUUGUGAUUGGCUGUGGUGAUCUUUGUUUUCAUGUCUGAGUGGGGUGGGUGGGUUUUUUGGAUCAAAUUAUCCAUACUGAUUUGUAUGUUGUUGGUGGAUUCUUGUCAUUGUCUUGUUGGGCUGUGUAUGUGAUAAAGGGAAGCCAUACCGGGGUGAAGGCAUCUUCUUCUAUUUGUUCCUGUGUCAGUUUCAGUUUAUUGGUUAAUUUUUCUAGUGAGGCUGUUUCCCAUACCAUGGGUCCAUGCUUACUCCUGACAGAUCUCUCCAGUGUCUGGUUAUGGUGUUUCUGGCUGCUGAAAGUAGGUGGGUUAUGAGUUCUUUGUGGUGUAAAUGUGCAUUAUUGUCUUGGAAGAUGUUUAGUAGGGCCAAUUCUGGGGUGAUUUCUAAUACUUGCUUAGUUAUUUUACAUAUUUCUCCUAUGGCUGUUGUCCAGAAUAGUUGGAUUUUGGGGCACUCCCACCACAUGUGAAGGUAUGUGCCUGUGGAGGUGCACCCUCUCCAGCAUUUUGGUGAGGUUUCUGGGCGUAUUAGCGCUAGUUUUCUUGGUGUUAGGUACCACCUGUAGGUGAGUAAGAUUGCUUGAUGUUCAUUUGAAAACCCUCACCUUGAUUAGGUUACCCAUGCCUUUUCUGCCCUGCACGUGCUGCAGGUGAAUGUCGAAGCAGGUGGUGAUUGCAGUCUUGGAAUAUGCCCCACGCACAAUGCCAUUAGGCUGGUGGGGAUAUACUCAAAUUGCCAGGGCUGCCCAUGUCUGGACACACAGGGGAUAAUACAGAAAUAAUCAGUAAUUAGCUUUUAUUAUUGCAAUGAAACAGUUUCUCAAGAAGCACUUUUUCAAGGGCAAAAAUAUGCACUAGAUAUAGGUUGUGUGUGGACUAUGUAAAAAAAAGCACUCCAUCACCACUGAUUCUAGAAUUAAAUGUGUUUGCGCAGCCCAAGACCUCCUUCCUAAUGUGUUUAAAUUGAACAAUUAUUCUACCCAUUGUUUUCUAACAUCCUUGUAAAUAGGGCUGCCAUACGUCUGGAUUUUCCCGAAUUCUACCAGAAUUUAAAAGGCGGAAGUGAUGUCCGGGGGGGGGGGGAUUUCCGGAAGGCAUUUUUUUGGGCGUUUUCGUUUAAAAAUGCUCCACAACUUUGUGGUUUGUCUGAAAAAAGCUCCACAACUUUGGGGUUUUCCUAUAAAAAGCUCAACUUUUGAGGUGUCCUGGUUUUUAACUUGUUGAAAUAUGGCAACCCUACUUGUAAAUACCAUAUUUUUCGCUCUAUAAGAUGCACUUUUUCCCGCCUAAAAAGUAAGAGGAAAUGUGUGUGCUGUUCUGGCUUCAGGGAUAGCCGCGGGAAGUCUUCAGCAACAUUUGAUUCAGAAUACUUUUUUUCUUGUUUUCCUCCUCUAAAAACUAGGUUCGUCUUAUGGUCGGGUGCGUCUUAUAGAGCGAAAAAUACGGUAACUGAAUCUCUUUCUCAACCUCAUCACUUCUCAACCUCUUUAAGAAACGGAAGCAGAGAGGAGCAGAAGGAGAUUCUGGCAACCUGUUUCCAGUAAUACCAUAGCUUGGAGUAGCAUAGAGAACGGUGGGAAUCAUUGUCUGAUGCAGCAGGAAGGGUUGUAAAGUGUCGGUCCUAAUUUGUUGGGGGGAGACAUCUGGCAGCAAAAUGCUUGGGGCUGGCGCUGCUUUUUGAAGCAAGACAUCUAGGCAGAAACCCCUAGUUUGCAGCCCUGUAGUAAACUUAGUUGUGUGGAUUUGUUUGUGCAGUCCGAUGGGCUGCACGUUUCUUCGAAAGUAAGUGCCGCUGAUUUCAGUGGAGGCUGAAAUAUGGUAUUUUCCAGCCUUAUUCUGGCUGGAGGGAAACAUGUGACUGUGAAGUGGCCAGAUGUACAAGAUGUGCUUUGAGCAUAGUGGCUUCAUUGUGUCGUGAAAAGUGAAAUGGAGAAGGGAGCCCUCGAGUGAGGUCGUGUUAUAUAGAUUUUUGCUGCGGGUGGCAAACUGAGCAGAUUGUCUUCGCCAUUGAUUGAUCUGGUCUCGCCUUUAUUGAGAGCACAUGGCGCACACUUAUUUUUUUAGUAGCUUUUUAUUAAAACUGACAAACGAGAGAUCCCAUGCUUUCAAGAGAUGAUCCCCAAGGAUUCCCCAGGGUGAUGUUUGUCUAGCCUAAGAUGAUGUUUCUGCUUUUGAUCCAUGGAAGCAUUUAGAGCACUAAUAAAAACAAAACCAAUAAAAGCCAAGCGAAAGCUUUUUGAAUUGCAGGACUUCACACACAAAAAUAAAUAAUAGAAUUAUAAAGUUGGCAGCGACCUGAGGGCCAUCAAGCAAACUUUGAAAGAUUGGGGAGGUGGGAGAGCCAGUAUAUUUAAUAUACUUGUUUUUAGGUCUUAAAAGUUUGUCCGUUUGUCCGUCCUAUUGGUUCAGUGCAUACAUGAUCUUGUGUCAAAAAAUACUCAGUGCCAGAAAUGAGUUAAUAAAUAUGUGGUACAGUGGUACUUCAGGUUACAGACGCUUCAGGUUACAGACACUUCAGGUUACAGACUCCGCUAACCCAGAAAUAGUACCUCGGGUUAAGAACUUUGCUUCACGAUGAGAACAGAAAUUGCACGGCGGCCGCGCAGCAGCAGUGGGACGCCCCAUUAGCUAAAGUGGUGCCUCAGGUUAAGAACAGUUUCAGGUUAAGAAUGGACCUCCAGAACGAAUUAAGUUCUUAACCAGAGGUACCACUGUAUAUCUCAGUUGCUAACAUUGGCAAGACCUGUUGUUUGCAAAACAAAAAACAAAAACACCUGCCUGAGGACGAACACUGAAAUGAAGCCCACAGUAUUGGUGUGGGUUUUUAUCUUUAAAACUGGUGAGGUUUAUUUAUCUUUAUGUAGUGGACAGUUGCCCUUCAAUGUUGCUGCAACACUGACUGCAAAGCUGACUGUUUCAAUUGGGCUAAUAAGUGUACCAGACCCUGGCUUGACUGAUGCUAUCACAGUAAGUUAUAAGGUUUGGUCCAAGGACCACAUGGGUGGUGCUUUGGUCUAAACCACUGAGCCUCUUGGGCAGGGGUCAGCAACCUUUUUCAGCUGUGGGCCGGUCCACCGUCCCUCAGACCAUGUGGUGGGCUGGACUAUAUUUUGGGGAAAAAUAUGAACGCAUUCUUAUGCCCCACAAAUAACCCAGAGAUGCAUUUUAAAUAAAAGGACACAUUCUACUCAUGUAAAAAAAAUGCUGAUUCCCAGACCAUCCGUGGGCCAGAUUGAGAAGGUGAUUGGGCUGCAUCCGGCCCCUGGGCCUUAGGUUGCCUACCCCUGCUCUUGGGUUUGCUGAUGUAACAGUGGUAGGAAGGGAUGGAGCAGGAAGAUGCAAUGAGUCUUGCUGUAGGCUUGGUGGGAGCAUUCCCGAUGCCCAUCUGCCUGUCAGUUCUGCAGAAUUGUGCUUUAGGCUGAAAACCAGCUGCUUUAUAAACUUAAUUAUGCAUUUUUAAUUUUUAAAAAAGUACAUUAUUAUAAUAUUUUUAAUAUUGAUAAAUUGGUGUGUGUGUGUGCGUGUAUUGGGGGUGUGUGCGUAUAUUAUACACAUUUAACUCCGUUAGUACUAUGAAGUGGGAAACAGCAGCGUAGAUGUACCGUAUUUUUUGCUCUGUAAGACUCACUUUUUCCCUCCUAAAAAGUAAGGGGAAAUGUGUGUGCGUCUUAUGGAGCAAAUGCAGGCUGCGCAGCUAUCCCAGAAGCCAGAACAGCAAGAGGGAUUGCUGCUUUCACUGCGCAGCGAUCCCUCUUGCUGUUCUGGCUUCUGAGAUUCAGAAUAUUUUUUUUCUUGUUUUCCUCCUCCAAAAACUAGGUGCGUCUUGUGCUCUGGUGCGUCUUAUAGAGCGAAAAAUACAGUAGGUCUUCUUUGCAAAGAAGAGCAGAAAUGACCAGGCCUCCUCUGCUCUUCUUUGCAAAGGAGCAGGAAGAGCUAUUGCACAACAAAUGUCUUCCUCUGCUGCAACAGCCAAAGCAGCCACAUAAUCGAGCCAUGACGCGAUUAGCUUAGUCAGUAGAGCAUGAGACUCUCAGCCUCAAGGUCGGGGGUUCCAGCCCCAUGUUUGGGCAAAAUAUUCCUGCAUUGAAGGUGGCUGGACUAAAUGACCCUCAUGGUCCCUUCCAACUCUAUGAUAACGUUUCAGCACAGAAUCGGGUGUCCUGUUUUUACAAAGCAUUAUGAAUAAUACUCCAAAAUUCACAGCCAGUAAGCAUCUUAUUAGGACCAUCUGAAAUGUUUCAAAAUGGCACGCAAGCCUCUGAGUUCUGCAGAACUCUUCCUCAGAUGAGAUGCCACGCAAAGCAGAAGUUGUGGGAGAUGAAGUAGGGGAGCUAAGUAAGAAAAAUAGAGUUGACCUUGAAGUGUUUGAGGUUUGUUUUUGACUUGGGCUAGUGGCUUGAAGGGACGCGGGUGGCACUGUGGGUUAAACCACAGAGCCUAGGACUUGCCGGUCAGAAGGUCAGUGGUUCGAAUCCCCACGAUGGGGUGAACUCCCAUUGCUCGGUCCCUGCUCCUGCCAACCUAGCAGUUCAAAAGCACGUCAAAGUGCAAGUAGAUAAAUAGGUACCAUUCCGGCGGGAAGGUAAACAGCAUUUCCAUGCGCUGCUCUGGUUUGCCAGAAGCGGCUUAGUCAUGCUGGCCACAUGACCCGGAAGCUGUUCGCUGGCUCCCUCAGCCAAUAAAACGAAAUGAGUGCCGCAACCCCAGAGUUGGUCGCAACUGGACCUAAUGGUCAGGGGUCCCUUUACCUAGUGGCUUGAAAUGCAGCAAAAUCAUUACCAUAUUUUUCGCUCUAUAAGACGCACCAGACCACAAGACGCACCUAGUUUUUGGAGGAGGAAAACAAGAAAAAAAAUAUUCUGAAUCUCAGAAGCCAGAACAGCAAGAGGGAUUGCUGCGCAGUGAAAGCAGCAAUCCCUCUUGCUGUUCUGGCUUCUGGGAUAGCUGCGCAGCCUGCAUUCGCUCCAUAAGACGCACACACAUUUCCCCUUACUUUUUAGGAGGGAAAAAGUGAGUCUUAUAGAGCAAAAAAUAGGUACCUCCGCACACAUUGCUUUUCAAAUCACAUUCUUAAACGAGGUGUGGAGAUGAAUUCACCACACCACACUGAUUUAACACUGGGGUAGGGAGAUGACUGAACUGGCUCCAUAGAAAUAAUCUCUGUGCAUUCAAAACAGAUUUUCAAAAGUCUGCCCUUACUGUGUCAAGUUGCACAGAUCUGUCUCAUAAAAGGGUUUGUGCUGUCGGCCUUGGAGUUGCUUCAAGGAGGUGGUCCUUGUUUCACUCCAAUGACAUCUCCUGUUAAAAAACAAACACGCCAUUGUCCCCCUUGAAAGCCGCAUUAUAGCAGCUUGUCUCCCUAAUGACCCCCUUCCUCCUGCAAACAAUAGGGCCAUAGCAUUCAACAAUAGCCAUGUCCUAUUCUCUUCCCUGUGGCCCGCAUGAACCCUGCGUGACUCUGUCAGGCACCACAACCUGACAGAAGGAUGGGCCAGAUGUCCUGGGCUCAGUGACUGUCUUGAGGGCCAUGGCGUCCCCAUUCAUUUCCAUGAUUUCCAUCAAUUGCACAGGAGACUUGAAACUAGAGAUCCGUGGCUCACACAGUGCACACUUGUUUGCCGCUAUGAUGCAUCAGCAGCUGUCGGGGCUCACCCACAAUUCUGCUUGUCCUGUGCCUAGAAAGCACGGGUGGUUUCCCCCUUGCCUGGCUUCUUAGGAAAAACCCACUCUUUAACUCCAAGUGAAGGCAGUGAAUGUCCUGUGUGAGUGUGUGGAGGCAGUUGGAGGAUGGAUGGCAGCUAACAGAUUGAGGUUGAAUCCUGACAAGACAGAAGUACUGUUUUGGGGGGGACGGGGGGCGGGGAGGUGUGGAGGACUCCCUGGUCCUGAAUGGGGUAACUGUGCCCCUGAAGGACCAGGUGCGCAGCCUGGGAGUCAUUUUGGACCCACAGCUGUCCAUGGAAGUGCAGGUCAAUUCUGUGUCCAGGGCAGCUGUCUACCAGCUCCAUCUUGUAUGCAGGCUGAGACCGUACCUGCCCACAGACUGUCUUGCCUGAGUGGUGCAUGCUCUGGUUAUCUCCCGCUUGAACAACUGCAAUGUGCUCUAUGCGGAGCUACCUUUGAAGGUGACCUGGAAACUACAACUAAUCCAGAAUGUGGCAGCCAGACUGGUGAUUGGGAGUGGCCGCCGAGACCAUAUAACACCAAUCCUGAAAGACCUACAUUGGCUUCUAGUACAUUUCCGAGCACAAUUCAAAGUGUUGGUGCUGACCUUUAAACCUGAGGUCCAGCUCCAAGGGCCUUCUGGUGGUUCCCUCCCUCUAGGUUGCUCACACAGUAAAAUAAACUUUGCAUCCCAGUUAACAUGCUUCUGUGGCAGAAUUCUAAGGAAAGUUCCUUUUAAUGAAUGCAACUCCCUCCUAUGGAAAAAAACACUAUUAAAAUCUUUCAUAUUAUCUCAUAUUAUUAUAUUAUAUACCGUUGCUUCAUACAUCAGUGCUAAGUAAUCUGAGAAAUCCCAUCAUAAAGAAGCUGGUUAAAGAGCCUUGAGGCAUAAACAAGUUUCCAUAUUAUUUCAUCAGAUCACCGUGGCUUCAGUUUCUACAUUAUCUCUGUUGUUAAUUAGUAUCUGUUCCUCACAUUGCAGCUCUUGUUUCUCACUGAUAACUUAUGUAGCCUGGAAUUAAAGGCCUGGUUUGCUUUGGAAGAAUAAUUUAUUGCUUCUGUGUGGAUUUCGGGGGAAUGGGAGCUUUGAAAAUCUUAAUUCAACCAAGAAGCCACUACAGAAGUUUGAUGAAUCAGAUCCACGCAUACCAAUGGUGGGGGUUUUUUAAACCCACAAUGACGUAUUUAUGGGGGAGCCACAAUUCAGUGAUACUGGUACAAUAGAUAGCAUACAUUUUCUGGGGUGGUUAUUUUAGUGUAAUCCCAAUAAAUGAAUGAAUGAAUGAAUGAAUGAAUGAAUCCAGAAAUUUAAAAUGUGGUUCCAAGUAUAAAGAUGAAAUAAAAUAUUAUGUGGAAGAUCUUUUACCUUAGUUGUGUCAGUUUUCAUUUCUUAGUGCAGACAGGAUUGAUCUGAUGUGUCGAGAUCUUUCCUAUUCUAAUGAAUUCAAGAGGGUUCUGGAAGCUUCUCUGUGUGAAAGAAACAAGCAAAAGGUUCAUGAUGUUUGGGUUAUUCCUUCAGAGAAGCUGAGUACAGCUGGCUUAAACUGGUUCUGUUAUUUCUUCUGUGAAGAUCAUGUUGACUAUAAAAGUAAGGCCAAAAGGAGUCUGGGUUUCCCUUUCCCUUUCUAUCUCUUUUCCUUCUGAUGUGGUGUUCUGUAUAUAGUGUUAAGGUUUAGUUUUAUUAUAAGUUAUUGUAAGUUUAAGUUAAGUCUGCUGCAACUGGAUUUCUCAUGGACAGUACCCGUCCUGAAUGUACUGGAUUUGUGACCAUUAUGCUCAUCUGCCUUCAGGAGCAGUAAAGCUCUGCUGGAUGAAAUACAAUUGCCUCUGAUCUUAUUUUUGGGGGAAUCCUGCAACAUGUUUAAGUUUUUACUCUGCUAACUAUACAUUGGAAUCUGGCUCAAUAUUGAGUAGAAUUUCAUAACAAGUGGUACAUCUACAGUGGUACCUCGGUUUCCAAACUUAAUCCGUUCCGGAAGUCCGUUCUUAAACCAAAACCGUUCUUAAACCGAGGUGCACUUUCCCUAAUGAGGCCUACCGCCGCUGGUGCCCUUCCACCGUUUGGCUUCCAUUCUUAGACCGAGGUAAAGUUUGCAAACCGGGACACUACUUCCGGUUUUGCAGAGUUCCUAAACUGAAUAGUUUGUAAACAGGAGUGUUCUUAAACCGACUGUCCUUAAACUAGAGGAGUCCGACAGAGAUAGUUUUAGGGCAUAGUGACCGGUUGCCCCCGAAAUGGACACUGAGCAGAGAGGGUGGUCAGUAAGCACUUGCCUGGUUAUGGGAAGGAGGGGUGAGGAUAUUUAUUUAUAUGUUUAUUUAUUUAUACCCCGCCCAUCUGGCUGGCUUUCUCCAGCCACUCUGGGCGGCUUCCAACAGAACACUAAAGUACAAUAACCUAUUAAACAUUAAAAGCUUCCAUAAAUAGGAGUCCUAGUGUCCUCCCUCCUUCCCAAAGCCUAGUUAGCACUUGCCCAGGUUUGAGAAGGAAGUAGGAGGGCUCUACAAUCCUGCUGGAGCCCUCGCACCUUCUUCCCAAAGCCAGGCAUGGCUCAAGGACUGUCUGCCAUAUUGUGAAAAGGAAACUAGUACAACAGUCAUUUUUAUGCAGCCAAAACUACCUGGAAAAAUUCAAACUUGAAGCAAUCAUUUUAUGUAUACUUUGUUCAAAAAUCCUACCUCUGGAUCACAGCCAACGCUGCUGUUCCACUAACACAGCAGACUGUCGCAAUGCAACUUCUCCUUCUGGUCCCUAUGUACCCCCAAUAUCUGCUUCAAAGAGGUGGGAGACAACCCAUAGCAGAUUUUGAGGGCACGCAAGGAGAGGAAAGGCAAGUCUUGUUAGGUGAUCAGAACUCUGUGCAUGAAUUGUAGGAAACAACCAUCUGAGUUUAACACCUCUGCAUUGGGAAUUAAAGGUAAAGGUAAAGGGACCCCUGACCAUUAGGUCCAGUCGUGACCGACUCUGGGGUUGUGGCGCUCAUCUCGCUUUAUUGGCUGAGGGAGCCGGCGUACAGCUUCCGGGUCAUGUGGCCAGCAUGACUAAGCUGCUUCUGGCGAACCAGAGCAGUGCACGGAAAUGCCGUUUACCUUCCCGCCGGAGCGGUACCUAUUUAUCUACUUGCAUUUUGACGUGCUUUCGAACUGCUAGGUUGGCAGGAGCAUGGACCGCACAACGGGAGCUCACCCCGUCGUGUGGAUUUGAACCGCUGGCCUUCUGAUCGGCAAGUCCUAGGCUCUGUGGUUUAACCCACAGCGCCACCCACGUCGCAUUGGGAAUUGCCAAUGCAUUAAUUUUUUGCAUAAUGUCUUCAUUUGAGUGAAAGUGGUGUCCUUCUGCAUUUGCGUCAAUGUGAAAAAUCAGAUUUUCAUACGGUUACUUAAUACGAAGUAGUAAAACACAAAGCUUUACCAAAAGCCAAGGGGGAAUACAUCUGACAGUACUCAAAGCUUAUUUAAAUCCUAUAACACUCUACAGACAGGGCUUGAUCCGUUGAAGAGACACAGUUUGUAGUAACUUUGGUAAAUUUCUAUCAACAAGAUGCCAAUUAUUAUUAUUUAAUUAUUGCCUUGCAAUGAAUCAUACAACCCUGGGCUACUAAUGGUACACUUGGUUCGUAUACAUUAGUAUAUGGCACCUGGGCAUCCAUAGCUAAUAAAGCAUGCUUUCAAUAAAGCUAUUAUUAAACAUUGAUUGCCAGUAUAUUUGCUAACCCAGCACAAGUUGGAAUUCCAUUAAAUGCAUAAACUGUCAGGUCUCAAAAUAAUGCUGGAUGAUCAAGAGUAACUGGAGACAUUUCACGCUGAAAUCUACAGGGUAAUUAUGAAAAAUGUGCCUAACGGGUUCUUUUUAUUUAUCACACACUCGUUUUUAUAAAUGACAUUUGCUGAGCAAUGAUUGCUUUCUUAUCUGGCCUUUGAGACAAAAUCUGUUUUUUUAGGAGUUUUAGGUGUGCUUUGAAAUCUGUUGCAUAUGACAGUCUACUGUUGUGUCAAAUCAACGUAAAAAAGGAACAGAUUCAUAGAAAUACUAAAAUGCAGAACUGUAGAGUUGGAAGUGAUCUCAAGGAUCAUCUGGUCCAAUGCAGGAAUCUCAACUAAAGCAUCCUUGACAAAUGGCCAUCCUUGUUGUUGUUGAGUCGUUUAGUCGUGUCUGACUCUUCGUGACCCCAUGGACCAGAGCACGCCAGGCACUCCUGUCUUCCACUGCCUCCCGCAGUUUGGUCAGACUCAUGCUGGUAGCUUCGAGAACACUAUCCAACCAUCUCGUCCUCUGUCGUCCCCUUCUCCUUGUGCCCUCCAUCUUUCCCAACAUCAGGAUCUUUUCCAGGGAGUCUUCUCUUCUCAUGAGGUGGCCAAAGUACUGGAGCCUCAGCUUCACGAUCUGUCCUUCCAGUGAGCACUCAGGGCUGAUUUCCUUAAGAAUGGAGAGGUUUGAUCUUCUUACAGUCCAUCUAAGCUCUGCUUAAAAACCUCAAAGGAAGGAGAGUCCAUAACUGCUGAAAGGUUCUUACUGUCAGAAGUUCUUCCUCAAGUUUAGUUGGAAUUGCCCUUCUUGAAUAUUGAAUGCAUUGGUUCGGGUCCUACCCUCCAGAGCAGGAGAAAAUAAGCUGUUCCAUCUUCCAGGUGACAGCCCUUGAGAUAUGUGAAGAUAUCCUAUCUCCUCACAGUCUCCUCUUUUCCAGGCUAAACAUAUACCCAGCUCCCUGUUGUAUUACCCUUAAUGCAAAUUUGUACAACGUAUAAAUUCAAGAUUACCUUUCUGUGGCCUUCUCAGCAUCUAGGGAAUCUCACAUUAUUUAUAAACAGCCCUAGUUUCUCAGGCUUGUACAGUGGUACCUCGGGUUACAUACGCUUCAGGUUACAUACGCUUCAGGUUAAGCACUCCGCUAACCCAGAAAUAGUGCUUCAGGUUAAGAACUUUGCUUCAGGAUAGGAAGAGAAAUCGGGCUCCGGUGGCACGGCGGCAGCAGGAGCCCCAUUAGCUAAAGUGGUGUUUCAGGUUAAGAACAGUUUCAGGUUAAGAACAGAUCUCCAGAACGAAUUAAGUACUUAACCCGAGGUACCACUGUAGUUGCAAAGGCAGGGGCUGCAUUUGGAAAAUCACAAUAAAUGAUGUUUGUCAUGAUGGAAUAACCCUCGCCUCCCGCUCCUGACUCUCACGCAAACCUUCCCUCAACACAGCAAAGAGCAGAAGAUACAAACAUUCAUUUACAGUGAAGCAGAAGUUAGUGGCUAGAUGCAACACUAAACAGGGAUUAAUCUGAGGUAUCGUGUGUCGGAAACAAAGCCAGUUUGAGAAACCAAAAUUUGAAACUUUGCUUGUUUCAAAGAAACCAUAGUUAAGGUUAGCCAAAGUUUGUUGGGUUCAGAUGAAACAACAAACAGUGGCUAAUCAAAAAUGGAAAUGAAAGCUUCCAUAGUUGCACCAUAAAUGUGAACCCAGGGGGAGGCUAGAAUUGUUCCUGUCAUGAUAAACUAUGGCUUCUUAUAACAUUAAAAUGCAGCCAUUGUUGUGGCCAUGUGACUAUAUUAGCCAGUCAUCUGCUUCCUAUGUUUAUGUAUCCCUUUCCAAUAUAGAUUCACAGACACUUUCUUGUGCCUUUUAAAAGCAGCAAAUAUUCAUGAAAAUGUAUUGGCCAAACAAAGAGAAAAGCAAAUACAAAAGACCAAACCACACUUUUUCUAUUGUGAUAACUUCAAAAUGCAUAUGCCACAGGUUUGUUUGUUUGUUUGUUUGUUUGUUUGUUUGUUUGUUUUAAUGGUUGACUGAGUUAGUCCUCAUUAAAGAAUGGCCAUUUCUGCAUAAAGAGGAUGUAAAACUUAUUUAAGAUAUCUGACAGCUAUAGCCUGGCAUUCUGUGUUCUUUUGAUUUUCC